Molecule: non-coding RNA, 192 nt
Filed under: Novosphingobium sp.
Lineage: Bacteria; Pseudomonadati; Pseudomonadota; Alphaproteobacteria; Sphingomonadales; Sphingomonadaceae
Source: RNAcentral
GAUAUCCAGCGCGGCGACGGUGCCUCGGGAAACCGGGGUGAAAAGGGAAGCCGGUUCCAAUCCGGCGCUGUGCCCGCAACUGUGCGCGGUGAGCCUCGCGUCGAGCCACUGGAUCACUUCGGAUCCGGGAAGGUGACGCGGACAGGGCUAAGACCCGCAAGCCAGGAGACCUGCCGUCGCCGUCGUCCAUGC